Molecule: microRNA precursor, 136 nt
Filed under: Hordeum vulgare
Lineage: Eukaryota; Viridiplantae; Streptophyta; Magnoliopsida; Poales; Poaceae
Description: microRNA MIR1122
Rfam family: MIR1120/MIR1122 microRNA precursor family
Source: RNAcentral
CUUCUACUCCCUCCGUCCCAAAAUUCUUGUCUUAGAUUUGUCUAGAUAUGAAUGUAUCUAGUCACGUUUUAGUAUUUAGAUACAUCCGUUUCUAGACAAACUUAAGACAAGAAUUUUGGGACGGAGGGAGUAUUAG